RNAcentral lists this ribosomal RNA (115 nucleotides) under Castor canadensis (American beaver). The record is from RNAcentral. Lineage: Eukaryota; Metazoa; Chordata; Mammalia; Rodentia; Castoridae.
GUCUAUGGAAUAUCACAUUGAACACGCCUGAUCUCGUCUGAUCUCGGAAGCUAAGCAUGAUAGGGCCUGGUUAGUACUUGGAUGGGAGAACAUUGAAUACAAAUCUCUGUGAAGA